GCUGAGUGGGGAGGAGAGAGGGACAGAGAGCCUGCUUGCUUUAAAGCACCCACCCGGACUGGAGCCGCUUACACGCGGGUAUGUGGUACCUCACCUCCCCCGCUUGGCACCUUUAAAGAAGCAGGCUCUCUGUCCCUCUCUCCUCCCCACGCAGC
Molecule: non-coding RNA, 155 nt
Organism: Podarcis lilfordi (Lilford's wall lizard)
Lineage: Eukaryota; Metazoa; Chordata; Lepidosauria; Squamata; Lacertidae
Source: the annotation of a GenBank genome assembly